GAUCUCUUGUUAAACAAGGAAAAGAUCAUGCCGGAAAUCAAUGGGGCGGAUAUAAACCGAUCCGCCUCAAUAAUUGUUCAUACUAUUUUCCUUCGUUUCUACUCGUAGCAAUUAUUACCUUCCACGGUUAUAUAAAUAAAAGGGUAGCCAUAUUAUUGUUUCUGCUAUUACAAGUCAAACAGAACAUCCUCUUUCCCAUCAUCAACUCAAUGCCACCGUUAGCCAAGAUGAGGACCGCCCUGCUGUGCGUGACUCUAAUCUUGCUCAUGCUAUCAUCAUCAUCAGAUGCUAGACCCGGAGAAUCUUGCUUUGGAAGAUAUGUUGGGACGCGUGAUCCAUGCAAUUCCACCAACUGUGACGAUUCAUGCCACGUUGAGAACAAGGAUGAACCUCUUUGUCAGGGGAGGUGCUCCCAGGUGGCCAAAUGCCGUCCAAUCGGGUGCCACUGCGACUUCUGCAGGUUCCCUUGAUGCACGUAGAUUUAAGAUAGAUAGAAGGGCACGUUUACAAUGAAUAACGACGCAUCAAACUCUACCAGCUCGAAGGUUGUUAAGAACUUGAAUUUUGUAUUCUAGCAAAAGUUGUGUGAAAUUACGAAGUGAGAUUUCCUUUUUCUUUUU
This is a long non-coding RNA of Triticum aestivum (bread wheat), 620 nucleotides long. RefSeq lists it as uncharacterized. The record is from RefSeq and is a predicted model, not a curated record. Lineage: Eukaryota; Viridiplantae; Streptophyta; Magnoliopsida; Poales; Poaceae. The transcript has 2 exons.